RNAcentral lists this small RNA (92 nucleotides) under Carnobacterium sp. RNAcentral's name for it is "SAM-III sequence". It matches the Rfam family "SAM-III riboswitch aptamer (SMK box)". The record is from RNAcentral. Lineage: Bacteria; Bacillati; Bacillota; Bacilli; Lactobacillales; Carnobacteriaceae.
AAGGUUUGCAAAUGGAGUCCCGAAAGGAUUCACUUGAUGAAAAGAGUGGAGAAGCCUUGUAACCGAAAAGAUAAAGGGGGAACAAUAGAAUG